Non-coding RNA from Acanthosepion pharaonis, 100 nucleotides. The record is from the annotation of a GenBank genome assembly. Lineage: Eukaryota; Metazoa; Mollusca; Cephalopoda; Sepiida; Sepiidae.
GUUGAAACACCGGUUUUCGUACGAUCACCGAGGUUAAGCAACAUCGAGCCUGGUCAGUAGCUAGAUGGGUGACUGUUUGCUAAUAUCUAGAUGCUGUAAA